RNAcentral lists this ribosomal RNA (197 nucleotides) under uncultured bacterium. RNAcentral describes it as "partial 16S ribosomal RNA". It matches the Rfam family "Bacterial small subunit ribosomal RNA", at positions 328 to 539 of the family's 1533-position model. The record is from RNAcentral.
ACGCUCGACACCUACGGGAGGCGGCAGUGGGGAAUAUUGCACAAUGGGGGAAACCCUGAUGCAGCGACGCCGCGUGAGCGAAGAAGUAUUUCGGUAUGUAAAGCUCUAUCAGCAGGGAAGAAACUGACGGUACCUGACUAAGAAGCACCGGCUAAAUACGUGCCAGCAGCCGCGGUAAUCUGAGCGGCUGGCAAGGC